CACAGACACAUCUAGAAGUUGGAUUCCUUUACCAUCUCUUCAUUCUUACUCUGGGCAGUCCGCAGCGGGAAAGGUGAACGAGCACGGCAUCAAAGAUUACACACAAAGGAUCGUAAAUUGUACAACUCCUAUAAACUUUGAUAGAUUCCAAUUUUCGAACCACGUGUAGCACUUUAAACAUUAUUAACACUACAUUUGGGUUUAGUCAGUGCAUUUCUCUUCUCUUUCACUACUCUUUGUUCCAUGCUCUCUGCAAUUUUGCAUCGCUACUCCCUGGUUGGAAGUGUCACUUCUCUGUUUGUUCAACAGAAUGUCCACAAACAAAGAUGUUACGGCACGUAGAGCUCAAGAGAAUAAGGAACAACGACGCGCUAAUUGAAAUUUGAGACGUCGCACCAGAUAUGUACAAAUGCACACAAACAGUUCGUGAUGAAAGAUCAUUUUGUAGUGAAAAAUAACGAGAAGGCCUAUAUCGAUACGCUCAAUGGACAUGUCUCUCUGGAUAAUUUGAAGGAGGCAUUUCUUUUGCAUUAAUGAUUCCUAAUAACAAGCUUUAGCUUCUUGAUUUUUUUGCAGGAUUCAUUGUUGGUGGACAAUAACGGUAACAAGAUGUCCUUUAAUUGUAAUUAAAAAGAAAUUCAAAUUAAUAUUUUAACUAAAUGUCUUUGAUUAAGAAAUGUGCGUAAUGGAUGAGAAAAAGAGUUAAAAGCGACAAAAUAGAAGAAAAAACUUAUGGAAGUGGUCCGUGUUCUUUUUUCCAACAAUUGCUUGAUUUGAUUAAGUUGUAGCGUACUUUUUGUUGUUUUGUUAAUGGAUCAUAUAUCUUUUUCAGUGUUAAUUAAUGGGUAAACAUUAGAAUUGAUAUUUUUUAGACUUGAAUGGAGAAAAAAGUGUGAAAUCGAGGGGACGUCCGGGGCACCAAUACGAACACCAUAUGUGCAUCCAAAUUUGAUUCCCUGAAAACUUAAUAUUCAUGGAAUGGUACAUUCAUAUUAUUUUAUUGACAUUUUGAUAUUAUGUUAAGAAUAAGAUAUUUGUGUAAGCCAUGAUAUUUUAAUACUGUGUUCGCAGGAUUUAUGAAGGCACAUUUUAAUUCACCAUACAAGAAACUUCACUUUGACAUCAUCCUGAAGCUAAGGUUAUUUAUUUCAUCAUGAAGAAAGAUAUGAAGUCAAUAAAACCUUCUAAAUAGAAAUAAUGCUCUAAUUUGACCAGUUUUUGCAGUCAAAAGCAUUUAAAAGUCAGCAAAUUGUUCAAUUUGUUUUCCUUUCCAUGUUCCUUUUAAGGUAUCGGUUUACCUAUUCGAAAAUGUUUAAUAUUGCGCUGCUUUCUUGCCGGAAGCUUCUAAUGGGAGCUGCAUUUGGAGGAAAAGAUGCAGAAAGGAUGACUAAAAUGAAAUAGAAGUUCAAGUAAGGCAGCGUUAAUGUCGAAGGAUCACUUUUAGUGUUCUUGUCAAUUAUUUAACUCAAUGCAUCUGUCUAAAGUUGACAGGAGAAGAAGUUUUGAUUCAAAAGAUACCCAUCUAUACGUUUCUGGAGCUAAAGCAUUGAACAACAUAAAGGCUUCUCAUUAUAAUUUCACUCCUACUUUGGGACAUAUAAAAGAAAAAGGAAGUUUAUAUAACAAACCCUUGCUCCCUUUACUAUUUUAGAAAGUAUUAAUGUUUUGCUUGUCUAUUUCCCCGUCUCAGUUGGCAAGGCCAUCUUUGCUAUACUCCAAGACAGAGGCAGAGUUGAAUUAUCAUGUGCUACAGUAUUUCAUCAUGGUAUGAUCUUGACCUUACAUAUCCUGAAAGCUUCUUUCAGUAUGUGCUUUUAUCUCAUGUAUUCAGUGAAUAUAGUGAUGUAGUUAAUUGAUACUUCUCCAAGCUACAUAUCCUUAAGCUUCCUCUCUAAUUGUAACACCCCGUAUUUUAGAACUAAGUUUAGACUCAUGUCAAUAGAUCUUUAGUGGAAAAACUGAAGGUUUGAACGUUUUGCGAAAAUGGUUGAUAGGCCUACUUCGGGCAGCCAUAAAUCCUUGAUUAGUUGGGAAUUUGGGAAAGUACCCUUAAUGAAAGUUGUAGUAUGUAGAAAUACCUUUCUAACGAUAUAUAGACCAGGCCAAUGAGAGAUCGGAGAAAGGAGAUAUUAUCGUCUCAAUAUGGCUAAUAGUAAGACACUUAAAAUUCUAUAGAAUCGGCUAAGUUUUCGAUACGUUUGCCUUACGGUCAAAUUUCGUGAAAAUACGUUGGGCAUUUGAGAAAACUUAAAACAUGAAAGUUGUAGCUCUUUGAAAUAGAUUUCCAGCGGUAUAUUGUGGAGCCCAAAAAGAGCUCUGUACAAGAAGUUAUGACUAUUUUACCGAACACUGCAUAGAACCGACACACGUCGUUUUUCAGGGCCCGUGCGAUGGCCUCGCGUCGCGGGCCGAUCGCACAAAAACACCCUCUCUGAGUAUCAACCUGCAGAAUGUUGCGCGAUGCACGUGCGUCGCGGACCCAUCGCAUAACAUGCCGGGUUUCUGGUCAAAAGUUGGGAUUUCGCGUUUUAAGUUAUAUUUAAGCGUGGGGUUUAUUUUCCUAACACCCCUAGUCACGAAAAAUUAUCCUAAAGUCAGAGAGAACAAGUCCCAAGCCUCAAGAACCCUACAAGGUAAGUUUUAUCAUGAUUCUAGAUUGAAUUCAAGUCCCUAAUCUCUUUCUAACUUGAGUAAACCCUUCUAAUCAAUAGAGUUGUGAGUGGAACAUUAUUGUUGGGCGUGGAAACCCUAGAAUCAAGAGGAUUGAACGUCAAAAAGGUAAUGUUUUCUACACUCUAAUCAUUCAUAAUAGUGAAUUGAUGAGUUCUUGGGAGAAUAGUAAAUGGGUUUAGUAAAGAGAAUUACACGAACUAUAGUAGGGUUUUGAAUUGUUGACUUGAGGUUGUUAUAAUGAUAUGGGUGAUGGAGAAUGAUGUUAAUUACAUCUAAUUGAGAUUGUAGAAGCACCUAGAAGUAAUAGAAUGAGAAUUGGGUGAAGAAACACCAUUAAUGGAGAUUGUGGAGCUUUAUGCCCACUAAGUGUUUGAUAAAAUGCUUAGAUAACCAAAGCAUGAAUAUUAUUGCUAAUAUAAAAUCCCUUUGACUUGUAUUGAUAUAGAUCAAAGUUGAAAGGGUUGACGAACAUUGUAUUACGCUCAAAGGCUGGAAUUAAGGUAACAACAUAUAGGUUGACGAUCCAGCUACUCAGGAGUGUUCGUAUCAGCUACUGUGGUGAGCCCCAGUUUCCUUCGGGGCGAUAUCAGUCAUGCAGUUCUCACAACUUUCUAGACAAUUACCUUUUUGUAUUCAUUAGAGGCUUUAUAGACACAGUUCAGACAGUCAGCUAUUUGUUAUGUUAGCCUUGUAGACAGUUAUACUUAGUCGUUCAGUUGUUUUGGUUUGGCCAUGUUGGGUACUUUCAGAUAUGUUCAGAUUGUCUAAGUAUUAUGAUAUUUCAGUCAGACGUUUAGUUAA
Molecule: long non-coding RNA, 3474 nt
Organism: Lycium barbarum (goji berry)
Lineage: Eukaryota; Viridiplantae; Streptophyta; Magnoliopsida; Solanales; Solanaceae
Exons: 4
Source: RefSeq, a predicted model, not a curated record